Molecule: ribosomal RNA, 390 nt
Filed under: Skeletonema sp.
Lineage: Eukaryota; Bacillariophyta; Thalassiosirophyceae; Thalassiosirales; Thalassiosiraceae
Description: partial small subunit ribosomal RNA
Rfam family: Eukaryotic small subunit ribosomal RNA
Source: RNAcentral
AUUCCAGCUCCAAUAGCGUAUAUUAAAGUUGUUGCAGUUAAAAAGCUCGUAGUUGGAUUUCUGGCAGGAGUGACUGACCACAAACUCUGUUUGUGAGUUGUGUCAUUCUGGCCAUCCUUGGUAAGAUCCUUUUUGGCAUUAAGUUGUCGGGAAGGGGAUGACCAUCGUUUACUGUGAAAAAAUUAGAGUGUUUAAAGCAGGCUUAUGCCGUUGAAUAUAUUAGCAUGGAAUAAUAAGAUAGGACUUUGAGUCUAUUUUGUUGGUUUGCGAGUCAAAGUAAUGAUUAAUAGGGACAGUUGGGGGUAUUCGUAUUUCAUUGUCAGAGGUGAAAUUCUUGGAUUUCUGAAAGACGAACUACUGCGAAAGCAUUUACCAAGGAUGUUUUCAUCA